RNAcentral lists this ribosomal RNA (492 nucleotides) under uncultured bacterium. Its description in RNAcentral is "partial 16S ribosomal RNA". It matches the Rfam family "Bacterial small subunit ribosomal RNA", at positions 29 to 507 of the family's 1533-position model. The record is from RNAcentral.
AGUGAACGCUGGCGGUAGGCCUAACACAUGCAAGUCGAACGGCAGCACAGUAAGAGCUUGCUCUUACGGGUGGCGAGUGGCGGACGGGUGAGGAAUACAUCGGAAUCUACUUUUUCGUGGGGGAUAACGUAGGGAAACUUACGCUAAUACCGCAUACGGCCUACGGGUGAAAGCAGGGGAUCUUCGGACCUUGCGCGAUUGAAUGAGCCGAUGUCGGAUUAGCUAGUUGGCGGGGUAAAGGCCCACCAAGGCGACGAUCCGUAGCUGGUCUGAGAGGAGGAUCAGCCACACUGGAACUGAGACACGGUCCAGACUCCUACGGGAGGCAGCAGUGGGGAAUAUUGGACAAUGGGCGCAAGCCUGAUCCAGCCAUACCGCGUGGGUGAAGAAGGCCUUCGGGUUGUAAAGCCCUUUUGUUGGGAAAGAAAAGCAGCAGGUUAAUACCCCGCUGUUCUGACGGUACCCAAAGAAUAAGCACCGGCUAACUUCGUG